Molecule: ribosomal RNA, 1406 nt
Filed under: Neozygites floridana
Lineage: Eukaryota; Fungi; Entomophthoromycota; Neozygitomycetes; Neozygitales; Neozygitaceae
Description: partial small subunit ribosomal RNA
Rfam family: Eukaryotic small subunit ribosomal RNA
Source: RNAcentral
UAUUAGUAGAAGCUUUAUAAUUAGCAACACCGCGAAAGGCUCAUUAGAAAUCCAUAGUUUAAACGGGAUAAAUUAAUAAUGGAUAACUCUGGUAAUUCUGGAGCUAAUACAAAAUUAAUAAAGAGUUAAUUUUAUAAUGAAAAAGAUUAACACGGAUACCUAAAAUUAGUUGGGGGUACACCGUAUAAAUAUAUAGCUUAUCAUACUAGUUGGUAACAUAGGGGGCUACCAAGGUAUUGACAGGUAACGGGGAAUUAGGGUUUGAUUCCGGAGAUGGAGCCUGAGAAAUAGCUGCAACUUCCAAGGAAGGCAGCAGGCGCGCAAAUUACCCAAUUUUAGCAUAGAGAGGUAGUGACAAUACGUGACACAUUAGUGUCAAACCCAAUAGUAGAUAAGUUGGGAAGAGAUUAGAGGGAAAGUCUGGUGCCAGCAGCCGCGGUAAUUCCAGCUCUAAUAGUGUAUGUUUUGAUUUGCUGCAGUUAAAACGCUCGUAGCCUACAGGUGUGAUAAUAAUUAGCACAAGGACCAUGAGCAAAACAAAGCGCUCAAGGCAGGGGUUUAGCCAGAAUGACAAGCAUGGGACCAUAGUAUACAACACACUGGUGGCGUUAGGACUAGAUGGGGAGGGGUGAAAUCCAUAGAUCCAUGUAAGACUAGCAGAGGCGAAGGCGGUCGUCACAGAGUGGUUGGUUGGCAAAGAGCAAAAGUUGAGGGAGCAAAAACGAUUAGAUACCGUUGUAGUCUCAACCGUAAGCGAUGCCGGCGCUUUGGUUGUUUUUAAUAAUAGGCAAAGAGGAGAAAUCUAUGAGCCAGGUUCUGGGGGGAGUAUGGUCACAAGACUGAAACUUGAAAGAAUUGACGGAAGGGCACCACCAGGAGUGGAGCGUGCGGUUUAAUUUGACUCAACACGGGGAAACUUACCAGUCCCGACACUUUGAGGAUUGACAGGCUAAAGGUCUUUCAGGAGAAGUGAGUAGUGGUGCAUGGCCGUUCUUUGUUGGUGGAGUUAUUUGUCUGGUUGAUUCCGAUAACGAGCGAGACGGGAGCCUUAAGUUAAAGUGUUUAAGGGACAGGUGUUGCAAAACACAGGAAGCCCCGCGAUAACAGGUCUGUGAUGCCCUUAGAUGGUCUGGGCGACACGCGCGCUACACUGCAUGCGGCAGCAAGUGUUUGCUUUUAGUAAAGUAAACAAACAUGAGGCGUAUGCGUGGUGAGGAUUGUCCAUUGGAAGAGGACAUGAAUGAGGAAUUCCUUGUAAGCAUGUGUCAGCAGCACGUGCUGAAUGCGUCCCUGCCCUUUGUACACACCGCCCGUCGCUACUACCGAUGGGUGGUCAAGCUAGAGUGCUGGAUAGCAAGGUAUAGCGAGCUUGGCCGCCUAGAGGAAGUACAAGUCGUAACAAGGUU